CCUACGGGAGGCAGCAGUGAGGAAUAUUGGUCAAUGGGCUUACGCCUGAACCAGCCAAGUCGCGUGAGGGAAGACUGCCCUAUGGGUUGUAAACCUCUUUUGUCAGGGAGCAACGCCGGCUACGUGUAGCCGGACUGAGAGUACCUGAAGAAAAAGCAUCGGCUAACUCCGUGCCAGCAGCCGCGGUAAUACGGAGGAUGCGAGCGUUAUCCGGAUUUAUUGGGUUUAAAGGGUGCGUAGGCGGGACUGCAAGUUGGGUGUCAAAUCUACCGGCUCAACCGGUAGCCGCACUCAAAACUGCAGUUCUUGAGUGAAGUAGAGGCAGGCAGAAUUCCUAGUGUAGCGGUGAAAUGCGUAGAUAUUAGGAGGAACACCAGUGGCGAAGGCGGCCUGCUGGGCUUUUACUGACGCUGAGGCUCGAAAGUGUGGGGAGCAAACAGGAUUAGAUACCCCAGUAGUC
This 460-nucleotide ribosomal RNA is filed under the name uncultured bacterium. RNAcentral describes it as "partial 16S ribosomal RNA". It matches the Rfam family "Bacterial small subunit ribosomal RNA", at positions 338 to 795 of the family's 1533-position model. The record is from RNAcentral.